UAGAUCAUGUAGAGAAAAUUU
Caenorhabditis elegans is the source of this 21-nucleotide non-coding RNA. Lineage: Eukaryota; Metazoa; Nematoda; Chromadorea; Rhabditida; Rhabditidae. The record is from Ensembl.